This 719-nucleotide long non-coding RNA is filed under the name Olea europaea subsp. europaea. The record is from RNAcentral. Lineage: Eukaryota; Viridiplantae; Streptophyta; Magnoliopsida; Lamiales; Oleaceae.
AUCAAAUUGAAAUUGCACCUGAGGACCAAGAAAAGACCACUUUCACAUGUCCCUUUGGUACUUUUGCUUAUCUUAGAAUGCCUUUUGGAUUAUGUAAUGCACCAGCUACAUUUCAAAGAUGCAUGCUUAGCAUUUUUAGCGACAUGAUUGAAAGAUCUUUGGAAGUUUUCAUGGAUGAUUUUACUAUUUUUGGGGAUUCAUUUGAUGAUUGUCUAACUAACUUGCAAAAAGUUUUAGUUAGGUGUGAAGAAAAGAAUCUUGUGCUCAACUGGGAAAAAUGUCAUUUUAUGGUCACUAAGGGCAUCGUACUUGGUCAUAUUGUAUCACCUAACGGAAUUGAGGUAGACAAAUCUAAAACUGAAUUGAUUUCUAAUUUGCCUACUCCACAUAGUGUUAAAGAGGUAAGAUCUUUUUUAGGACAUGCUGGUUUUUAUAGAAGGUUUAUCAAAGACUUUAGUGCCAUAUCUAAACCAUUGUGUAAUCUCUUAUCUAAAGACAUGCCUUUUGAAUGGACUAAGUCUUGUCAAGAAGCUUUUGUUAAACUUAAGAACAUGCUUACUUGUGCUCCUAUCAUGCAACCUCCAGAUUGGAAUUUACCUUUUGAAAUCAUGUGUGAUGCUAGUGAUUAUGCUGUUGGAGCUGUCUUAGGCCAAAGAAAAGAUAAGAAACCUCAUGUCAUUUACUAUGCAAGUAAAACUCUAAAUAAUACUCAAAUGAAU